This 254-nucleotide ribosomal RNA is filed under the name uncultured bacterium. RNAcentral describes it as "partial 16S ribosomal RNA". It matches the Rfam family "Bacterial small subunit ribosomal RNA", at positions 524 to 776 of the family's 1533-position model. The record is from RNAcentral.
UACGUAGGGGGCGAGCGUUAUCCAGAUUUACUGGGCGUAAAGCGCGUGUAGGCGGCUGGUUAGGUGUGAUGUGAAAUCCUCGGGCUCAACCCGAGAACUGCAUUGCAAACCGGCCUGGCUAGAGUGCAGGAGAGGGAAGCGGAAUUCCAGGUGUAGCGGUGAAAUGCGUAGAUAUUGGGAGGAACACCAGUGGCGAAGGCGGUCCCCUGGGCCGGAACUGACGCUGAGGCGCGAAAGCGUGGGUAGCAAACGGG